RNAcentral lists this ribosomal RNA (165 nucleotides) under Urtica dioica (great nettle). RNAcentral describes it as "5.8S ribosomal RNA". It matches the Rfam family "5.8S ribosomal RNA". Rfam says of the family: 5.8S ribosomal RNA (5.8S rRNA) is a component of the large subunit of the eukaryotic ribosome. It is transcribed by RNA polymerase I as part of the 45S precursor that also contains 18S and 28S rRNA. RNAcentral also lists the same sequence under 7 other names. The record is from RNAcentral. Lineage: Eukaryota; Viridiplantae; Streptophyta; Magnoliopsida; Rosales; Urticaceae.
CGUAACGACUCUCGGCAACGGAUAUCUCGGCUCUCGCAUCGAUGAAGAACGUAGCAAAAUGCGAUACGUGGUGUGAAUUGCAGGAUCCCGUGAACCAUCGAGUUUUUGAACGCAAGUUGCGCCCGAAGCCUUUAGGCCGAGGGCACGUCUGCCUGGGCGUCACGC